Molecule: long non-coding RNA, 1835 nt
Organism: Equus caballus (horse)
Lineage: Eukaryota; Metazoa; Chordata; Mammalia; Perissodactyla; Equidae
Source: Ensembl
CUCAAAAAAAGCCACUUGAAGCCACUUAAAAUAAGGCCCAGAUAUUUAGACUAGACGAGCUGUACGAGAGGCGGAAGCAAACUCUCCUUUCUCCAUGGAGCCACCUGCCAGUCACUGAGGAGGACCUGCUAUACGGCAGACACUGUAUGGGAACUGUAUGUGGUUGAACAACGCAAGUCCCCAGUUCCAGUCUGACAGUGCCUACAGCACAAAAGGUCAAGUUCACCCAUUCAGGACGCUGACGAGCCAGACAGAGAGGAGGUCUGUCCACACCGGCCGCCACCGCUGCACAGGGAGGGGACUGCCAACAGACAGCCGUCCCCAGAGCGGGCUGCAGGAGCGCCGGGCCGGCCAAGCCACCAUGCACGCCUCCCACACACAGCCUGCAGCCCCAGGAAAUGGAGACGUGGAAACUAACAUUCCUACCCGAGCUGCUGUGUCCGAGGUCACAGGACUGAGGGUGAGCGAAUCCACAGCAGCACCCAGGGCUCUGGGCAGCCUCAGUCGGAAAGGAGACAUGGUGAUCCCUCCUCCUAUCAGAACAAAAAUGACACCCACACUCCGACUCGUGCAGAGUGGCACUGCUUCUUUCUCCCACCCGUGAAGCUUCAGCUACGUGCCCUAAAACUGUGAUGGAACCAAGAGGAAGAGAGGCACGGGGAAGAAGGAGUGUCAGUCUCCCGUGGUCAUAAGGAAGCUUAAGGCGACAGCCCAGCGAGUGCCCACCAGGAGGGCCAGUGCUCCUGCUUCGGCCCUGAUCACACGCCUCUUCAGAGGGAGCGGGGAGCAAAGCUGAGCGUUUUCAUCUUCCUCCAUUCCAUCUUUCUGCCGUAAUUCCUGCUAUGAGAGAAAACGCAGCCAAAAUCCAGAGACCAGAAUGAAAUGGCCCAUCUCCAGCUCGGUUAUGGAGCAUACAGAUGAAUCAGUCACAACUAUUUCCUGAUGGUCUGCUGUGCGUUCAGGCCUGGGACGAGCACAGACCCAGGACAAUUCAAAAUCUAGAUCCUGGACCAAACCUACAAUUCAGGUUUCUAACUGCCGACUGCUCAUUCAUUCUCUCAUUCAUGUAACAAAUCACAGCUGAGCACCGGCCACAUGCCCUGGGCUAGGUUUUGGAGUUUGGGUCCAUUCUCUGCCGAGUACGCAGGAAGCUUGAACCUGAUUGUGAGCAGUGAUCAUCCCCAUCACUGGUGUCCACAUGGUGCUUUUCCAUUCUCAAAGCAUCUGUCCAAACACAGAUGCAUUCAACCCCCACAACGACCCCAGGGAAGUCAGCAGGGAGUGUUCUCAAGCUUUCCCACUGUACAUUUAGGGAAACCGAGGUACCGAGGGUUCGAGACUUAUCCAUGAUCAUACAGCAGAACGGUGACUCAAACCCUCCUCUUCUGUUUUCUUUUGGGUACAAAUCCCUGUGAGAGACAUGAGGAGUCUGUGUCAGGAAAAGAUCCCAGUAGGCAGGGGUGGCCAGAGUGGACUGGACAGCGGAGGACGUGGAUAUGGGGAAAACAAAAGGCAGGUGGCUCCUGAAAGGACACGGAGCAGAGCUCCUCUAGCUCAGUGUGAGGCAUCCACAGGGCUGGGCACAGUUCUUGACGUGAACGGAGAAUCUAAACCAAAGCGAGAGCCUUGUAUGUUGCUGAGGAGGAGGAGGAGGGUGCAAAAGCGAUCAGCUCUGAGUCAGACAAACCCUGGUUGUGCUUCUGUCUGUGCCGUUAUAAACUGUGUGCCCUAACUGAGCCUUGACUUUCUCAUCUGUAAAGUGGGACUAAUGGGGUCCAUUCCAUCUCUACAGAAUUCAGUGGGAUUAAGGGUCAGACACAGUGGCGUGAAGCGAG